UAUUAAAAAAUUAUUUAUUUGUAUUGUUAAAAGUUGAUGUGCUUGACGGAAUAACCAAAUAAUGGCACGUGGUGUGUCAUGUGUAUGUCAUGUUGACGUUUAUGGACUAACUUUUAACAAUAAAAACGGAUGGAAUUUUUAAUA
Gossypium hirsutum (cotton) is the source of this 144-nucleotide non-coding RNA. NCBI's taxonomy places the organism in Eukaryota, Viridiplantae, Streptophyta, Magnoliopsida, Malvales, Malvaceae. The record is from Rfam.